Molecule: non-coding RNA, 30 nt
Filed under: Mus musculus (house mouse)
Lineage: Eukaryota; Metazoa; Chordata; Mammalia; Rodentia; Muridae
Source: RNAcentral
CUGCAGCUCCGGACACCUACCCUUUGUUGA